RNAcentral lists this ribosomal RNA (253 nucleotides) under uncultured bacterium. Its description in RNAcentral is "partial 16S ribosomal RNA". It matches the Rfam family "Bacterial small subunit ribosomal RNA", at positions 524 to 776 of the family's 1533-position model. The record is from RNAcentral.
UACGGAGGGUGCAAGCGUUAUCCGGAUUCACUGGGCUUAAAGGGUGCGUAGGUGGGCUGAUAAGUCAGUGGUGAAAUCCCCGAGCUUAACUUGGGAACUGCCAUUGAUACUAUUGAUCUUGAAUACCGUGGAGGUCAGCGGAAUAUGUCAUGUAGCGGUGAAAUGCUUAGAUAUGACAUAGAACACCAAUUGCGAAGGCAGCUGGCUACACGAAUAUUGACACUGAUGCACGAAAGCGUGGGGAUCAAACAGG